GUGCCCUUAGUGUAACUGGAUAGCACAUGAGAUUUCGGUCCUCAUACUCGGGGUUCGAACCCCCGGGGGCGCA
The sequence is a transfer RNA, 73 nucleotides long. It matches the Rfam family "tRNA". From Rfam's summary of the family: Transfer RNA (tRNA) molecules are approximately 80 nucleotides in length. Their secondary structure includes four short double-helical elements and three loops (D, anti-codon, and T loops). The record is from Rfam.